CCUACGGGAGACAGCAGUGAGGAAUAUUGGUCAAUGGGCGCGAGCCUGAACCAGCCAAGUAGCGUGAAGGAUGACUGCCCUACGGGUUGUAAACUUCUUUUAUAAAGGAAUAAAGUGAGGCACGUGUGCCUUUUUGUCUGUACUUUAUGAAUAAGGAUCGGCUAAAUCCGUGCCAGCAGCCGCGGUAAUACGGAGGAUCCGAGCGUUAUCCGGAUUUAUUGGGUUUAAAGGGAGCGUAGAUGGGUUGUUAAGUCAGUUGUGAAAGUUUGCGGCUCAACCGUAAAAUUGCAAUUGAUACUGGCAGCCUUGAGUACAGUUGAGGUAGGCGGAAUUCGUGGUGUAGCGGUGAAAUGCGUAGAUAUUAGGAGGAACAUCAGGGGCGAAGGCGACUUACUGGACUGUAACUGACACUGAGGCACGAAAGCGUGGGGAGCAAACAGGAUUAGAUACCCCUGUAGUC
This 460-nucleotide ribosomal RNA is filed under the name uncultured bacterium. RNAcentral describes it as "partial 16S ribosomal RNA". It matches the Rfam family "Bacterial small subunit ribosomal RNA", at positions 338 to 795 of the family's 1533-position model. The record is from RNAcentral.